GGAUAACUACUGGAAACGGUAGCUAAUACCGCAUAAUGUCGCAAGACCAAAGAGGGGGACCUUCGGGCCUCUUGCCAUCGGAUGUGCCCAGAUGGGAUUAGCUUGUAGGUGAGGUAACGGCUCACCUAGGCGACGAUCCCUAGCUGGUCUGAGAGGAUGACCAGCCACACUGGAACUGAGACACGGUCCAGACUCCUACGGGAGGCAGCAGUGGGGAAUAUUGCACAAUGGGCGCAAGCCUGAUGCAGCCAUGCCGCGUGUAUGAAGAAGGCCUUCGGGUUGUAAAGUACUUUCAGCGGGGAGGAAGGGAGUGAGGUUAAUAACCUUAUUCAUUGACGUUACCCGCAGAAGAAGCACCGGCUAACUCCGUGCCAGCAGCCGCGGUAAUACGGAGGGUGCGAGCGUUAAUCGGAAUUACUGGGCGUAAAGCGCACGCAGGCGGUCUGUCAAGUCGGAUGUGAAAUCCCCGGGCUCAACCUGGGAACUGCAUUCGAAACUGGCAGGCUGGAGUCUUGUAGAGGGGGGUAGAAUUCCAGGUGUAGCGGUGAAAUGCGUAGAGAUCUGGAGGAAUACCGGUGGCGAAGGCGGCCCCCUGGACAAAGACUGACGCUCAGGUGCGAAAGCGUGGGGAGCAAACAGGGUUAGAUACCCUGGUAGUCCACGCUGUAAACGAUGUCGACGUGGAGGUUGUUCCCUUGAGGAGUGGCUUCCGGA
RNAcentral lists this ribosomal RNA (714 nucleotides) under uncultured bacterium. RNAcentral describes it as "bacterial SSU rRNA". It matches the Rfam family "Bacterial small subunit ribosomal RNA", at positions 141 to 850 of the family's 1533-position model. The record is from RNAcentral.